CUGGCAGGCACUCUGCCCCUGGGGGUGUGCAAAGAGUUGUCCAGUUACCUUGAUCUUCUCACAGCCUCCUCCCCAGGGCACCAGGAGAGACCAGGAUUGGAGGACGGUAAAGAACACACUUCCCAGAGGAUUCUUGGAGGUAGAGUCAACAGGAAGGGGUGGUGAGACCUGCACAGACCUGCUCUGUCCCCUGGGCCUGGUGACAGAUGACCUGGAUGUUGGGUGCAGCUGGGCAGGGACUGCAAUUCUGUGUGUCCCUUUUUCUGGGAGCCACAGGAAACCCAUGCCCUAAUCCACAUCAGACUACCACUUGUCCUUAUCCUCCAAACGCAGCAAAAUAUUACACAAGGUCCAGGGCAAGGCAGGAUGGCCACCUCGCUCACUCAUCACAGCUGUCCUCUGACCUGAGCAGGGCCGUUCUGUCUCAGACCUGGAGACCCCGCACUCAGGGCGUUCAGGAACUCCCCGACCCACCAGGAGCCUCUCCUGGUGUCUCCCAGGGAUUGUCAAUAGUUCCAUUUUCCUUGAAGAACUUGUUUUCAGGUGGCUUCCUCCAGGCAGUAAAUCUACAGCCCAGGCUCCCUGCAUCUUAUGGCUCCAAUCACUUUGGAUCUCAUCGUCGCCUGCACAUUGCCAUACACAGGGAAGGAGAAGAGAUGGAGAAGGCAAAGACUUUCUGAAAGCCGUGGCUAAAAGCUGGCAUGUGUCACAUCAGCUCACAUUCCAUUGGUGAGAACAUAGAAUAUGUAAGGCAAAGAGAAACCCAGGAAA
RNAcentral lists this long non-coding RNA (771 nucleotides) under Homo sapiens (human). RNAcentral's name for it is "non-protein coding LINC00939:6". Lineage: Eukaryota; Metazoa; Chordata; Mammalia; Primates; Hominidae. The record is from RNAcentral.